ACACGGGGGGAGCAAACGUUGUUCGGAAUCACUGGGCGUAAAGGGCGCGCAGGCGGCCUGGUCAGUGAAACGUGAAAGCCCCUGGCUCAACCAGGGAACUGCGUUUCAUACUGCCAGGCUUGAGGACGUGAGAGGAGAGGGGAAUUCCCGGUGUAGCGGUGAAAUGCACUGAUAUCGGGAGGAACACCAGUGGCGAAGGCGCCUCUCUGGCCCGUUCCUGACGCUCAGGCGCGAAAGCUGGGGGAGCAAACAGAAUUAGAAACCCCAGUAGUCC
RNAcentral lists this ribosomal RNA (274 nucleotides) under uncultured bacterium. RNAcentral describes it as "partial 16S ribosomal RNA". It matches the Rfam family "Bacterial small subunit ribosomal RNA", at positions 523 to 796 of the family's 1533-position model. The record is from RNAcentral.